AUGAGAAAUCACAUACAAAACUGGAUUUUAAAUGCAUCGAAAGUGUUGAGUUGUUUCCGGACAUUCAUCAAUAUCUGCGUAUAUAAAGGAAAGCUUUGGGAAUUUGUUGCUCAAUCUAUAGAAUGCAGGGACAAUUUGGCUGCAAACUCAACACCUGAAAACAGUAAAAACACACACAUCACUGACACUAUCCUAAACACAAUUUCUCCUAUGAUGUUCAAUUCCAAACAAACUAAAUUUCAAAACAUCAUAAACUAUAUGGUUCAAAUCAGUAGAGUCAGAUAUUCUAAGUGUCCCAACAUCAAACACCUGGUGUUCACAGAAAUACAAUUCCACAACACUAUUGUAAUCCCAAACCCAACCAUCCCCAUCACAGUAACAGGAUUCCUUAAUAUCAAAAUAGAAACAACAGCAGCCAUAACAACUUUAGCAUUCCCCAAAACUUGCAGCGUCAAAGCACUCGUAUGU
This 468-nucleotide long non-coding RNA is filed under the name Vicia faba (fava bean). The record is from RNAcentral. Lineage: Eukaryota; Viridiplantae; Streptophyta; Magnoliopsida; Fabales; Fabaceae.